This 816-nucleotide long non-coding RNA is filed under the name Marmota monax (woodchuck). Lineage: Eukaryota; Metazoa; Chordata; Mammalia; Rodentia; Sciuridae. The record is from RNAcentral.
GACAUUUUCUGAUUUUAAAAUUGGUGAUAUAGGCAUUGAUGUUUGCUACUUUUCCUAUAAGGUGAAUAUUGUGGCAGUAAUAGCCAUGACCCGUUCAAAGCAUCUUUUAGAUGAUAUAACUCACUUGUCCUAAGCCAAUAGUGGCUUCUCUGUCACUCUUCAAAUAGAAUCCAAAGUCCUAGCCAUAGACCAAAAGGCCCUGACUUCUGACUACUUCUCCAUACUUAUUUUCCAGUCUUCUCUUUCACCCUACUCUUGUCAUACCUUUUCUUUUUUUAACGUUUCUUUGAAUAUCCCAAGCAUAUUUCCAUAUGUGAUGGUAGGAAUGUUCUUUUCUUAGUCAUGCCCUUGGUUUUGCUUCUUCACUUCCUCUAGCCUUUGUACAAAUAUUAUUUUAACAGGCAGGUUUUACUCUGACUAAAGUAGCAUGUUUCUCCAACCUUUUCACUCUUUACCCAACAUGAUUUAUUUUUAUUCAUUGCAGUUUCAACACCUGGAUAUAUUCUGUGUUUAUUUGUAUAUUCUUUGUCUUUCCUUUCUCUUGAAUGUCAAGUCCCAUGCAAAAGUGACUAGUAUACUGUCUGGCAUAUGGAAAGCACUUAGUAAAUAAUAAUUCAGUGAGUAAAUCACAUUCAACUCAACUGAACACAACAUACACUUAAGUAAUCACACCCUAUAUUGCCUGACUAUUCCCAAACAACCACUAAUAUAAUUUCUGUCUCAGGCUGGAGUUGUGGCUCAGAGAUAGAACGUUCGCCUAGCGUGUGUGAGGCACUGGGUUCAAUCCUCAGCACCACAGUAAAAAAUAAAGCUAUU